ACACGACUACAUUAGAUACCCGCGUAGUCCUAGCCGUAAACGAUACUCGCUAGGUGUCGGCCACGGUGCGACCGUUGUCGGUGCCGUAGGGAAGCCGUGAAGCGAGCCACCUGGGAAGUACGGCCGCAAGGCUGAAACUUAAAGGAAUUGGCGGGGGAGCACAACAACGGGUGGAGCUUGCGGUUUAAUUGGAUUCAACGCCGGAAAUCUUACCGGGACCGACAGCAACAUGAAGGCCGAGCUGAAGACUUUGCCGGAUUAGCUG
RNAcentral lists this ribosomal RNA (265 nucleotides) under uncultured archaeon. RNAcentral describes it as "partial 16S ribosomal RNA". It matches the Rfam family "Archaeal small subunit ribosomal RNA", at positions 717 to 982 of the family's 1478-position model. The record is from RNAcentral.